CCUGCUCAUGAGUAAUUAAAUAGCCGCAAUUUCGUGCUAAGGUAGCAUAAUAAUUUGUUUCCUAAUUAGAAAAUAGAAUGAAAGGAUAAACGAUCAUAACCUAUCUUUUACAAAUACAAAUUAAAAUUAAAUUAAAAAUCAAAAUGUUUUUAUAAAACAGGAAGACGACAAGACCCUAUGAACUUAUUUUAAAAUUUAACUGGGGCAGUUUAAAAAUCAACAUUUAAUAUUUUUAUAGAUAUAAAAGCACUAAAGAAAAUAAACAAAGUUACCAUAGGGAUAACAGCGUAAUAUACAUUUAAAGAACAUAUAAAAAUGUAAGAUUGCGACCUCGAUGUUGAAUUAAUAUAACUAUUAUAAGAACAAUUAUAAAUAAGUAAGUCUGUUCGACUUAUAAUCUAUUACAU
RNAcentral lists this ribosomal RNA (407 nucleotides) under Fageicera sp. 461 FL-2019. Its description in RNAcentral is "partial large subunit ribosomal RNA". The record is from RNAcentral. Lineage: Eukaryota; Metazoa; Arthropoda; Arachnida; Araneae; Ochyroceratidae.